Molecule: ribosomal RNA, 543 nt
Filed under: uncultured bacterium
Lineage: Bacteria
Description: bacterial SSU rRNA
Rfam family: Bacterial small subunit ribosomal RNA
Source: RNAcentral
UGGGGAAUCUUCCGCAAUGGACGAAAGUCUGACGGAGCAACGCCGCGUGAGUGAUGACGGCCUUCGGGUUGUAAAGCUCUGUUAAUCGGGACGAAAGGCCUUCUUGCGAAUAGUUAGAAGGAUUGACGGUACCGGAAUAGAAAGCCACGGCUAACUACGUGCCAGCAGCCGCGGUAAUACGUAGGUGGCAAGCGUUGUCCGGAAUUAUUGGGCGUAAAGCGCGCGCAGGCGGAUUGGUCAGUCUGUCUUAAAAGUUCGGGGCUUAACCCCGUGAUGGGAUGGAAACUGCCAAUCUAGAGUAUCGGAGAGGAAAGUGGAAUUCCUAGUGUAGCGGUGAAAUGCGUAGAUAUUAGGAAGAACACCAGUGGCGAAGGCGACUUUCUGGACGAAAACUGACGCUGAGGCGCGAAAGCCAGGGGAGCGAACGGGAUUAGAUACCCCGGUAGUCCUGGCCGUAACUACUAGGUGUAGGAGAUAUCGACCCCUUCUGUGCCGGAGUUAACGCAAUAAGUACCCCGCCUGGGGAGUACGACCGCAAGGUUG